RNAcentral lists this unclassified non-coding RNA (1102 nucleotides) under Hevea brasiliensis (rubber tree). Lineage: Eukaryota; Viridiplantae; Streptophyta; Magnoliopsida; Malpighiales; Euphorbiaceae. The record is from RNAcentral.
UAUCUCCCUCACACCCCAGCAGUAGAAACACUGCCCCCAAGCUAUAUACUACCUGGAAAAUUAUAAACUCAAUAAAAUUUUCCAUAUCCUUCCUAUUCUCAUUCUUUAUUUAUAUAGAGUAACAUUUGUUGUGGUUACAUGGGCUUCCGGAAUAGGCUCCACCAGAAUAAUUUGCUGGCCCUCUCCAUGAAGAACACUUGGAAUUCCCAAAACUAGCAGAGACCCUUCUACAUCCUUCUUAUGCCUUCUGGAAUAAGUAAUCUAGCCUCUUAUUGGUUCCCCCUUUGGUUCAGGUUGCCCAACUCUUUCAAUAAACUAUCAGUCCAUUUCCCGCAUUUUCCCUAUCAAUACCAACCCCCUCAAGAAUAGCCUUGUCCCCAAGGCUGUAUUGGAGACACCAAAGGAGUAAUUCCAGCAAUAAGCAAUACAGCAAUUCCACCAGAUUAUAUAAGACGAACAAAACAAAGUUGGGGGCCAUUAUAUUCUAUCAAUGCCAUCAGCGCGCAAAAUGAUUUUAAGGCACCCACCCACAUAAGUAAAAUUGGAAACAAUAAAUCAGCAAUAUGCCACCAAAAUGUCAUGGAAUUUGUUUCUAAAAGAAGCAAUCCCAAGUAGGAUAAAUGCUUUACCAUGUUUACACCCUAGGCAUCUGAUAUGAAUACCAUGACGUGAAUGAAAAGAAGGACUGUAAUCCGAGUUUCUAAUGGGCUAUUAACCUCUAUAACUUUGGCAAUUCUGAUAGGAAAGACAUGAAUCCCCUCUUGUGUAGGUUUCAACCAUAUUCGCACAACCAAAACAGAGAAAAUAAUGCAAUAUCCCAAUCCUGGUCUUCGUCGCACGAUCUGAGUUCCUCUCGAUCCAUGAAGGUAAUACUCACAUAGAGACCCACGUAAACCAACAAGCUCUUCUUGCUGUAAUGCCCCAUUGACCGCCAUCAGUGUCCCUUCCUCCACAAGCUCUAAUUUUUUGUUGUUAGUAAUUUGAGAUUGGUGGUUCAUGGCUUGCUGUUUAGUGGAAGAUAAUUGAAUUACAAUCGAAGAGGGAAGAGAAAAUAUUAUUACGAUGGUGGGAAAGGAAUGAGAAGUGGGUUUCUCAAUUUUUU